UGGGGAAUAUUGGACAAUGGGCGAAAGCCUGAUCCAGCCAUGCCGCGUGUGUGAAGAAGGUCUUCGGAUUGUAAAGCACUUUAAGUUGGGAGGAAGGGCAUUAACCUAAUACGUAGUGUUUUGACGUUACCGACAGAAUAAGCACCGGCUAACUCUGUGCCAGCAGCCGCGGUAAUACAGAGGGUGCAAGCGUUAAUCGGAAUUACUGGGCGUAAAGCGCGCGUAGGUGGUUUGUUAAGUUGGAUGUGAAAUCCCCGGGCUCAACCUGGGAACUGCAUUCAAAACUGACUGACUAGAGUAUGGUAGAGGGUGGUGGAAUUUCCUGUGUAGCGGUGAAAUGCGUAGAUAUAGGAAGGAACACCAGUGGCGAAGGCGACCACCUGGACUAAUACUGACACUGAGGUGCGAAAGCGUGGGGAGCAAACA
This 426-nucleotide ribosomal RNA is filed under the name uncultured bacterium. Its description in RNAcentral is "partial 16S ribosomal RNA". It matches the Rfam family "Bacterial small subunit ribosomal RNA", at positions 355 to 774 of the family's 1533-position model. The record is from RNAcentral.